GACGAACGCUGGCGGCGCGCCUAACACAUGCAAGUCGAACGAGCGAGAGAGAGCUUGCUUUCUUGAGCGAGUGGCGAACGGGUGAGUAACGCGUGAGGAACCUGCCUCAAAGAGGGGGACAACAGCUGGAAACGACUGCUAAUGCCGCAUAAGCCCACGACCCGGCAUCGGGUUGAGGGAAAAGGAGCAAUCCGCUUUGAGAUGGCCUCGCGUCCGAUUAGCUAGUUGGUGAGGUAACGGCCCACCAAGGCGACGAUCGGUAGCCGGACUGAGAGGUUGAACGGCCACAUUGGGACUGAGACACGGCCCAGACUCCUACGGGAGGCAGCAGUGGGGAAUAUUGCACAAUGGGGGAAACCCUGAUGCAGCGACGCCGCGUGGAGGAAGAAGGUCUUCGGAUUGUAAACUCCUGUUGUUGAGGAAGAUAAUGACGGUACUCAACAAGGAAGUGACGGCUAACUACGUG
RNAcentral lists this ribosomal RNA (466 nucleotides) under uncultured bacterium. RNAcentral describes it as "partial 16S ribosomal RNA". It matches the Rfam family "Bacterial small subunit ribosomal RNA", at positions 28 to 507 of the family's 1533-position model. The record is from RNAcentral.